Long non-coding RNA from Oncorhynchus tshawytscha (Chinook salmon), 2666 nucleotides. Lineage: Eukaryota; Metazoa; Chordata; Actinopteri; Salmoniformes; Salmonidae. The record is from Ensembl.
UACUGACUGACUGACUGUACCCACUGGAAGUAGGAUAUAGCACCUACUGACUGACUGACUGUACCAGCUGGAUGUGGGAUCUAGCACCUACUGACUGACUGACUGUACCAGCUGGACAUCGGAUCUAGCACCUACUGACUGACUGACUGUACCAGCUGAAUGUGGAAUCUAGCACCUACUGACUGACUGACUACUGGAUGUGGGAUCUAGCAGCUACUGACUGACUGUACCAGCUGGACUUGGGAUAUAACACCUACUGACUGACUGUACCGGCUGGAUGUGGGAUCUAGCACCUACUGACUGACUGACUGUACCAGCUAGACAUGGGAUAUAACAUCUACUGACUUACUGACUGUACCGGAUGGAUGUGGGAUCUAGCACCUACUGACUGACUGACUGUACCAGCUGAAUGUGGAAUCUAGCACCUACUGACUGACUGACUACUGGAUGUGGGAUCUAGCAGCUACUGACUGACUGUACCAGCUGGACUUGGGAUAUAACACCUACUGACUGACUGUACCAGCUGGACUUGGGAUAUAACACCUACUGACUGACUCUUCCAGCUGAGGAUGGGAUCUAUCACGUACUGACUGAGUGUACCAGCUGAGGAUGGGAUCUAGCCCUAACUCUGACUGACUGUACCAGAUGAGGACAGGAUCUAGCACGUACUGACUGACUGUGCCAGCUGAUUAAAUCACUUACUGACUGUACCAGCUGAUUACAUAACUGACUGACUCUACCAGCUGGCACGGCGAUGGGAUCUAACACCUACUAACUGUCUGACUGACGGACUUUCUGACCGACUGUCUGACUGAUUAGCUGGCUGACUGGCUAGGCUGACUGGCUAGGCUGACUGACUGACUGACUGACUGACUGGCUGGCUGGCUGGCUGGCUGGCUGGCUGGCUGACUUCCUGACUGAUUGGCUGGCUGGCUGACUGGCUGGCUGAUUGGCUGGCUGACUGAUUGGCUGAUUGGCUGGCUGGCUGACUGGCUGGCUGACUGGCUGGCUGGCUGACUGAUUGGCUGGCUGAUUGGCUGGCUGGCUGACUGGCUGGCUGACUUCCUGACUGAUUGGCUGGCUGGCUGACUGACUGGCUGACUGUCCUUCCAUUGCCUUCUCUCCCCGGGGAUUCAGACGGGAAAACAAAGCCAGAGAACUUGAACCAACUGUAAUGUAACUAGUUAAAGCAGGCGACACACUUGAGUCUGUCUGUCUGUCUGUCUGUUAAAGUCAUGAUUAUUCAAUACUACCAUAAUUAUAUUAUUCUAUUGAUCUGUUAUAGUCAUGAUUAUUCAAUACCACCAUAAUUAUAUUAUUCUGUUGAUAUUGUUGGGGUUGUGAACGUACAGUACAGUAAGAGACUAUUGUUUGUGGAUACUGUACUUUUUAAAGACGAAGCUGAGAACACUGCUGCUACCUGACGGUGACUGUAACAUUAGGUCUGUACGGUGCCCAUAUUAGGACAGCGUCAGUCUCAGCAGGCGUUAUUAGGUCCUGAUCAGACUGAGGAUGUCCUAAUACAGACACCAUAGGUGUGUUAUUUAAUGAUGGUCUGCAUUCCAAAUGGCACCUUGUUCCCUUUGUAGCUGAACUAUUGUUGACCAGAGCCUACGGUGUUGACCAGGUCCUACAGUGUUGACCAGGGCCUACAGUGUUGACCAGAGCCUACGGUGUUGACCAGGUCCUACAGUGUUGACCAGGGCCUACAGUGUUGACCAGGGCCUACAGUGUUGACCAGAGCCUACGGUGUUGACCAGGUCCUACAGUGUUGACCAGGGCCUACAGUGUUGACCAGGUCCUACGGUGUUGACCAGGGCCUACAGUGUUGACCAGGGCCUACAGUGUUGACCAGGGCCUACGGUGUUGACCAGGUCCUACGGUGUUGACCAGGGCCUACAGUGUUGACCAGGGCCUACGGUGUUGACCAGGUCCUACGGUGUUGACCAGGGCCUACAGUGUUGACCAGGGCCUACGGUGUUGACCAGGUCCUACAGUGUUGACCAGGGUCUACAGUGUUGACCAGGGUCUACAGUGUUGACCAGGGCCUACAGUGUUGACCAGGGCCUACGGCUGCUGGUGUUGACCAGAUGCUACGGCUGCUGGUGUUGACCAGAUCCUACGGCUGCUGGUGUUGACCAGGUCCUACGGCUGCUGGUGUUGACCAGGUCCUACGGCUGCUGGUGUUGACCAGGUCCUACGGCUGCUGGUCAACAUAGUGUACUCUAUGGGGAACAGGAUGCCAUGUGGAACACAGCCCCUAUUGAAGACCUUUCUAGCUAUGUUGGUUCUGUUGUUUGUGCACGGAAAUGGAAUUAAAUACAACAAGGGCACGUUUUUGUUAUUUUUCAACAUAAUAUAUUUUGCACUGAGACACAAAAAUGUGUUAAUACUGUACAUUUUGUUUUUAGAUGCGUGUAUAAAGCCUCACCAGUGCCACAUAGUUCAAAUGUAUAAAAUAUUGUUGUACUGUGGAAUGUUAAUAGUCUUUUGGAUUGCAAUGUAUUGCCUUUACACACAGUCUGCUGGUUGUCAACACUAUAGGCCAUAAAGGAGGGGCAUCUGACUGCUAUAGAAUUACCGGCCAUAAAGGAGGGGCAUCUGACUGCUAUAGAAUUACCGGCCAUAAAGGAGGGGCAUCUGACUGCUAUAGAAUUACCGGCAUC